This 162-nucleotide ribosomal RNA is filed under the name Fagus sylvatica subsp. sylvatica. RNAcentral's name for it is "5.8S ribosomal RNA". It matches the Rfam family "5.8S ribosomal RNA". Rfam says of the family: 5.8S ribosomal RNA (5.8S rRNA) is a component of the large subunit of the eukaryotic ribosome. The record is from RNAcentral. Lineage: Eukaryota; Viridiplantae; Streptophyta; Magnoliopsida; Fagales; Fagaceae.
AAAACGACUCUCGGCAAUGGAUAUCUCGGCUCUCGCAUCGAUGAAGAACGUAGCGAAAUGCGAUACUUGGUGUGAAUUGCAGAAUCCCGUGAAUCAUCGAGUCUUUGAACGCAAGUUGCGCCCGACGCCAUUCGGCCGAGGGCACGUCUGCCUGGGUGUCAC